Molecule: ribosomal RNA, 407 nt
Filed under: Verrucomicrobiota bacterium
Lineage: Bacteria; Pseudomonadati; Verrucomicrobiota
Description: Verrucomicrobia bacterium partial 16S ribosomal RNA
Rfam family: Bacterial small subunit ribosomal RNA
Source: RNAcentral
UGGGGAAUAUUGGACAAUGGAGGAAACUCUGAUCCAGCAAUUCUGUGUGUGUGAAGAAGGUUUUAGGACUGUAAAACACUUUUAGUAGGGAAGAAAAAAAUGACGGUACCUACAGAAGAAGCAACGGCUAAAUACGUGCCAGCAGCCGCGGUAAUACGUAUGUUGCGAGCGUUAUCCGGAAUUAUUGGGCUUAAAGGGCAUCUAGGCGGUAAGACAAGUUGAAGGUGAAAACCUGUGGCUCAACCAUAGGCUUGCCUACAAAACUGUUGAACUAGAGUACUGGAAAGGUGGGUGGAACUACACGAGUAGAGGUGAAAUUCGUAGAUAUGUGCAGGAAUGCCGAUGAUGAAGAUAACUCACUGGACAGAAACUGACGCUGAAGUGCGAAAGCUAGGGGAGCAAACAGG